Molecule: non-coding RNA, 136 nt
Organism: Caenorhabditis elegans
Lineage: Eukaryota; Metazoa; Nematoda; Chromadorea; Rhabditida; Rhabditidae
Source: Ensembl
ACCUCCGAAUGUGAAAAAGCAAUGUAGAAAAAGACAAACGGAACUGUUUUCCGUCAAGGAUGCAAAAUGGAAAGAUGCGCGCUGAUUAGUGCAGGUGUCAUGAGAGAAUUGGAAUAUAACGGAGUUUCAACUUUUC